AGAAAAGCUUCUAACAAAAAAAUAAAACAAAAUGCAUUUCCUCCUUUGAAAAUUAUACCCGAACUUUAAAGAUAGUUUGGGCAUUUUUUUAAACAAUAAAAUGAAACCCCUUUUACGAAUUAAAAUAAAACCCUACUUAAAAGAAUUCAAAAAAAAUCAAAACCCUUUUUUUUAAAGAAUUAAAAUCACAACCCUUUUAAAAAGAAUUAAAAUAAAGCUCUNNNNNNNNNNGUUACGAAUUAAAAUAAAACCCUACUUAAAAGAAUUCAAGAAAAAUCAAAACCCUUUUUUUUUAAAAGAAUUAAAAUCACAACCCUUUUAAAAAGAAUUAAAAUAAAGCUCUUUUAACAAGAAG
RNAcentral lists this long non-coding RNA (355 nucleotides) under Hordeum vulgare. RNAcentral describes it as "long non-coding RNA (HVUL_LNC012603)". Lineage: Eukaryota; Viridiplantae; Streptophyta; Magnoliopsida; Poales; Poaceae. The record is from RNAcentral.